This 484-nucleotide ribosomal RNA is filed under the name uncultured bacterium. Its description in RNAcentral is "partial 16S ribosomal RNA". It matches the Rfam family "Bacterial small subunit ribosomal RNA", at positions 30 to 507 of the family's 1533-position model. The record is from RNAcentral.
AUUGAACGCUGGCGGCAGGCCUAACACAUGCAAGUCGAGCGGAUGAAGGGAGCUUGCUCCUGGAUUCAGCGGCGGACGGGUGAGUAAUGCCUAGGAAUCUGCCUGGUAGUGGGGGAUAACGUCCGGAAACGGGCGCUAAUACCGCAUACGUCCUGAGGGAGAAAGUGGGGGAUCUUCGGACCUCACGCUAUCAGAUGAGCCUAGGUCGGAUUAGCUAGUUGGUGGGGUAAAGGCCUACCAAGGCGACGAUCCGUAACUGGUCUGAGAGGAUGAUCAGUCACACUGGAACUGAGACACGGUCCAGACUCCUACGAGAGGCAGCAGUGGGGAAUAUUGGACAAUGGGCGAAAGCCUGAUCCAGCCAUGCCGCGUGUGUGAAGAAGGUCUUCGGGUUGUAAAGCACUUUAAGUUGGGAGGAAGGGCAGUAAGUUAAUACCUUGCUGUUUUGACGUUACCAACAGAAUAAGCACCGGCUAACUUCGUG